GGGAAAGUUAAGUCAUUUUCUUUCAUCACCAAAUCAUAAAACAAAGCAAAUACAUGAUAGGUGUAAGCGAUGCAUUCCCAGCAGCAUAUGUUACAAGCAUUUUCACACCCCCAAAUCAACCUUAAUUCAACACCCUUCUAUCAAAACUUAUCUUAGCUAGCUACCUCGUAUGCAACUCUUACAUCCCAUGUUUUACAACAUGAACAAGAAAAAGAAGAAAAUAUUUAUAAAAAAAGAGAGAAGGCAAAGACGUAAAUAAACCGAAAGCAUCAGCUUAAACAAGGAAUAAAAAGAAAGUUAAAAGACCUAACGGUAAGGUAAAUCGGACCGCUACCCUCAAUUCCCCGCGAUGCAAUAAUGUCACUCUCCCAAUUCUUCCCUUUUACUAGGGCUAGAAACUCAGGAGAGUGCAAUUGCAAAGCCUCGCUUCUAUUUUCUUUGUUCUUUUGUCAUCGCGCUUCAUCCAUAUUUACAAAAGAACCCUCCUUCACCGUGCAACCACGACCACAACAACGCACCACUUCCUUUGUAGCCGUUGCCGAAGCUGCCGGAGCCUUGCCAGUGGGUACUUGUCAUCUUGAAUAUUUUUGCUAGCAAGGAAAGAGAAGAAAAGAGAGUUGG
Molecule: unclassified non-coding RNA, 621 nt
Filed under: Hevea brasiliensis (rubber tree)
Lineage: Eukaryota; Viridiplantae; Streptophyta; Magnoliopsida; Malpighiales; Euphorbiaceae
Source: RNAcentral